GGUUCGUUGGUCUAGGGGUAUGAUUCUCGCUUAGGGUGCGAGAGGUCCUGGGUUCAAAUCCCGGAACGAACCC
Molecule: non-coding RNA, 73 nt
Organism: Coregonus clupeaformis (lake whitefish)
Lineage: Eukaryota; Metazoa; Chordata; Actinopteri; Salmoniformes; Salmonidae
Source: the annotation of a RefSeq genome assembly